Gadus macrocephalus (Pacific cod) is the source of this 1675-nucleotide long non-coding RNA. RefSeq lists it as uncharacterized. The record is from RefSeq and is a predicted model, not a curated record. NCBI's taxonomy places the organism in Eukaryota, Metazoa, Chordata, Actinopteri, Gadiformes, Gadidae. The transcript has 4 exons.
UCACAACUCCAUCUAAAUUAAAUGGUAUUAAUCAUUGGCCCAACCUGUAUUGCACACAUGAGCAGCUGUACAAUGUAAGUUAACGACUUUGACCCUACGGCAUGUCAACCGAGGGUUCGACGCCAAUAUGAUGUCAUUUUUUACUGCUUUUACACUUAUACACCUAUCUGAGGGCAUUAACCUGCAUGUCUGCGGAAGAGACUCCCUAAAAUGCUGAGGAAUGUGAAGCUUUUUUGUAAAAAUAUUAUCUACAAGUAGACAAGUUGUUUUUGUUGCUCUGCAAAACUGAAUGUGCGAGUGAUUAUCACAAAAGUGUCCUGUGCUUUAGUAGGCUACUGGGCUGUUUCAAAAGAGAUGGCCGACAACGACAUCUGCAGACUGCUGGCAUGAAUGCAACCGGCCAAAUCCAAAUGCUUGUUUCACCUGAGGUGCAAUAUGCUACACACUGACACCUACAGCUUGUCAGCUUGUCUUUGUGCCUACAUCAUUAAAUGGAGGAAGUACCUAGGGCCUUUAGAAAGAGGGGGAGAGCCCCAACCCCGUCACCCAAGGGCCAUGCGUGGUUGUGUCCCUAUACAGGGGCCCAAUGAGACCACCAGAAGAAGCCUGCACACAAGGAGAGACGGACAAACAAGGCCCUGGGCAGCCUCACUAUUACGAGAGAGGGAGUCUCGGGGUAUGGUGGUAUGGUCAGGGAUUUAACAGGGUGUUUUAAGUGCCAUUUUGUGUUUUCAUCAAACAGUUUAGCUUUGUUUACACGCUUUUUAUUUUUUAUUUUAUUUUUUACAAAUCCAUCAUAAUCAAUUUGACAACAGUACAAAAUAAUGGAGUGACCCUGCAUGGAGCAGGGGGGGGGGGGGGGGCAGGGGUUGGGCUCGUCUUCAUUUUGUGUUCUAAAAUGUAGAUUUACAUUUUAUGCAUACUACACACACACAGGCUUGAGGCACGCAGGCAUUUCAGAAACAUGAGGAAUUCUAGAUUGUACAAUUAUGAGAGGCUUGAGCUGGUGAACAUCCAGAAGUCAUUGAGGAACUUGGACGGGAAGCGCUUUUGGAUGUUUAUUAGAUUUAUUUGAAAAAGUACCAUUUCAGAUACAGGAAUACCUGGGAAGAGGAGGGAACGCUGCCCCUCUCUGGAGCGAGCCUUUACAUCCAUCGAAGGGAGGAGAGUGGAGACAGUUGGAGAGGAGGGGCCAAGCUCAGCCUCACCUGAACGACCACCCACGUCUUUCAAAGCAAGGAAACUCGUUUUCACUUCAUGGGUCAAAUAAUGUAUAAUGCUUUGUAUUUUGACAUUUUCCGAACUUUCCUUUACCUUCCCAGCAACAGAUGGUAGAAGAGGUCACUCCAGUUGAGAAACCCUUGGCUUUUUUUCAGGAUUUACCAACGGAGAUUACGGAGGUCAUUCUGGGCCGCCUCUCAGUGCGUGAUGCGCGUGAUGUCAGUGGGGGCGACCUGAGGCAGAUACAACCGGCCGAGUCACAGUCCCUGGGUCUGGAUGAGAUUCUGCUGCAGCGUGCCAGACCUCUACCAGCCCAGAGACUGGCAGCGCCUUGCCAUACUUAAACGUGGCGGUGUCGCUGAGGCCUGUGGCUGUGUGCUGUAGGCUCCGCCGCACUCUGCUCCUGCUUCAGGACGAGUCCGACGCUAAGGAGCUCCGGAGGCCGCCCUCCUGG